RNAcentral lists this ribosomal RNA (424 nucleotides) under uncultured bacterium. Its description in RNAcentral is "bacterial SSU rRNA". It matches the Rfam family "Bacterial small subunit ribosomal RNA", at positions 359 to 775 of the family's 1533-position model. The record is from RNAcentral.
GAAUAUUGGACAAUGGGCGCAAGCCUGAUCCAGCCAUGCCGCGUGUGUGAAGAAGGCCUUCGGGUUGUAAAGCACUUUUGUCCGGGAAGAAAAGCGACGGGUUAAUACCCUGUUGUUCUGACGGUACCGGAAGAAUAAGCACCGGCUAACUUCGUGCCAGCAGCCGCGGUAAUACGAAGGGUGCAAGCGUUACUCGGAAUUACUGGGCGUAAAGCGUGCGUAGGUGGUUCGUUAAGUCUGCCGUGAAAGCCCCGGGCUCAACCUGGGAAUGGCGGUGGAUACUGGCGGACUAGAGUGCGGUAGAGGGUGGUGGAAUUCCCGGUGUAGCAGUGAAAUGCGUAGAGAUCGGGAGGAACAUCUGUGGCGAAGGCGGCCACCUGGACCAGCACUGACACUGAGGCACGAAAGCGUGGGGAGCAAACAG